RNAcentral lists this ribosomal RNA (253 nucleotides) under uncultured bacterium. RNAcentral's name for it is "partial 16S ribosomal RNA". It matches the Rfam family "Bacterial small subunit ribosomal RNA", at positions 524 to 776 of the family's 1533-position model. The record is from RNAcentral.
UACGUAGGGGGCAAGCGUUGUCCGGAUUCAUUGGGCGUAAAGAGCGUGUAGGCGGCCAGGUAGGUCGGUUGUGAAAACUGGAGGCUCAACCUUCAGAGGUCGACCGAAACCAUCUGGCUAGAGUCCGGGAGAGGAGAGUGGAAUUCCUGGUGUAGCGGUGAAAUGCGCAGAUAUCAGGAAGAACACCCGUGGCGAAAGCGCUCUGCUGGACCUUAACUGACACUGAGGGGCGAAAGCUAGGGGAGCGAAUGGG